Molecule: long non-coding RNA, 995 nt
Organism: Mastomys coucha (southern multimammate mouse)
Lineage: Eukaryota; Metazoa; Chordata; Mammalia; Rodentia; Muridae
Exons: 3
Source: RefSeq, a predicted model, not a curated record
GCGGUCUUCGCGCGACCCACUUCCGGGCCCUCACUGGGCGCGGCACCCCCACCGGAAAUGAGCCACCGGCUGUAACGCUAGCCCCGGAGAAAGGAAGAAGUUUGGCCGCUCGGCUCGUGACUCCGCCCCCAUUCCCCGCCACCGGAGAAUCUAGCCUAGGAGCGCUAGGGAAGGGCUCCGCCCCCAAGGAAGGGGGUGGAGACCACGGGGAGGGGGCGUGCCCACGGCCGGUCACGCCCCGAGGCUCAGACCAAUAAGGAGCUGGAGUUCCUAUCCAAGCCCCACCUCCGUAAAGGAGGACAGGUGAGAAAGUAACAGCAGAUAAAGAGCACACCCUCCAGAGCUGAGGGCAGAGCAAGUCAAGAAACUGGCUCCACAGACCAAGCAACCUUGAGCUCACAGACUGGCCUCAGAGUUCAGUAAUCAAAGGCAUGCGUCACCACCGCCUGGCUUGGAGCAACCCUUAAAGGUUCCUUCUUAGGCCCUUAUUUCUUGCUCUUUCCGAAAUGCUCAGGAAACAAUAUGCCACACACUACUGAGCAGCGUGGAAGCAAAGCUGAGUCCAGAUGGGCAGAGUCUGCCGAAGAGUUACCAAAGAUGAGGACAGAUGCAAAACAAGCCAUUAGGACCGACGAGACUCACUAAAUGUUGCCAAUCCAAAGUUCGGAAGACCAAGAAAAGACAACCGACAGAGCCGACGUCAUGGAGCUAGCUGAUCCCUGAGGAAACCCUACUUCCUGUGCAGCUUGAAAGAUGGAUGUGAGGUAGCAGGUGACUGGAUCAGAGAAGAGCUGCGCAGAGCAGGAACAGCACUAAGGUCAGAAAGUGAUAGGACGCAGAAAGCACAGUCAAGACUGUAAGAAGAGAGCAGUGUGGCUGAGUACAAGAAUAAAGGGAAAGAACAGGAAGUGACGAGGUAGCAGCAGCUGGACCCGGCGGUGCCGGCCUUUAAUCCCAGCUACAGGUGAGGCUGAGGCAGGAGGAUUACAAGUUGA